RNAcentral lists this ribosomal RNA (253 nucleotides) under uncultured bacterium. RNAcentral's name for it is "partial 16S ribosomal RNA". It matches the Rfam family "Bacterial small subunit ribosomal RNA", at positions 524 to 776 of the family's 1533-position model. The record is from RNAcentral.
UACGAAGGGGACUAGCGUUGUUCGGAAUCACUGGGCGUAAAGCGCACGUAGGCGGAUUCGUAAGUCAGGGGUGAAAUCCCGGGGCUCAACCUCGGAACUGCCUUUGAUACUGCGGGUCUUGAGUCCGAUAGAGGUGGGUGGAAUUCCUAGUGUAGAGGUGAAAUUCGUAGAUAUUCGGAAGAACACCAGUGGCGAAGGCGGCUCACUGGACCGUUGUUGACGCUGAGGUGCGAAAGCGUGGGGAGCAAACAGG